UACGAAGGGUGCUAGCGUUGCUCGGAAUCACUGGGCGUAAAGGGCGCGUAGGCGGGUCUUUAAGUCAGGGGUGAAAUCCUGGAGCUCAACUCCAGAACUGCCUUUGAUACUGAAGAUCUUGAGUUCGGGAGAGGUGAGUGGAACUGCGAGUGUAGAGGUGAAAUUCGUAGAUAUUCGCAAGAACACCAGUGGCGAAGGCGGCUCACUGGCCCGAUACUGACGCUGAGGCACGAAAGCGUGGGGAGCAAACAGG
This 253-nucleotide ribosomal RNA is filed under the name uncultured bacterium. RNAcentral describes it as "partial 16S ribosomal RNA". It matches the Rfam family "Bacterial small subunit ribosomal RNA", at positions 524 to 776 of the family's 1533-position model. The record is from RNAcentral.